GAUGAAGAAGCAGCGAAAUGCGAUAAGUAAUGUGAAUUGCAGAAUUCAGUGAAUCAUCGAAUCUUUGAACGCACCUUGCGCCCUUUGGCCAUUCCGAAGGGCAUGCCUGUUUGAGUAUCAUGAACACCUCAACUCUUUAUGGUUUUCCAUGAUGAGCUUGGACUCUGGGGGUUUUGCUGGCUCACAGUCGGCUCCUCUAAAAUGAAUCAGCUUACCAGUGUUUGGUGGGUAUCAUGGGUGUGAUAACUAUCUACGCUUGUGGUUUUUCCACCAGGUAACCUUCAGCAGUGGAGGUUCGCUGGAGCUCAUAGAUGUCUCUCCUCAGUGAGGACAGCCCUUUGAAUGUUUGAUCUCAAAUCAGGUAGGACUACCCGCUGAACUUAAGCAUAUCAAUAAGCGGAGGA
Molecule: unclassified non-coding RNA, 404 nt
Filed under: soil metagenome
Description: partial contains 5.8S ribosomal RNA, internal transcribed spacer 2, and large subunit ribosomal RNA
Rfam family: 5.8S ribosomal RNA (bases 1-120)
Source: RNAcentral